Epinephelus fuscoguttatus (brown-marbled grouper) is the source of this 322-nucleotide long non-coding RNA. RefSeq lists it as uncharacterized. The transcript is spliced from 3 exons. Lineage: Eukaryota; Metazoa; Chordata; Actinopteri; Perciformes; Serranidae. The record is from RefSeq and is a predicted model, not a curated record.
GUCGCCUCACUCUGAGAUGUGGUGGCAGCUGACUUUGAGUCACCAAACCACUCUGAGGACAUUCCUAUUCUGUUCAGGUUCACUGCCGGCUUGACCUCUGACAUCUGCUCCACAGGAGCUGAAAGGCCAUCACCACGACCUGGAGCCAAGACAAGACAACAAGAUUUAUGAUGUACCAAAAUAUACCACAUCACUGCUGGUGGAGUUCAAAAGACGGCAGGCGGGUCAUACCUUUAUGUUGUACUCCCAAAGCAUCCUCAAGAAGUCCAGUACUGUGUGAGGAAGAGGACCCUGAGUAGCAAUGUAAGCCCUGGAGCCUGAC